RNAcentral lists this ribosomal RNA (425 nucleotides) under uncultured bacterium. RNAcentral's name for it is "bacterial SSU rRNA". It matches the Rfam family "Bacterial small subunit ribosomal RNA", at positions 354 to 796 of the family's 1533-position model. The record is from RNAcentral.
GUGGGGAAUCUUGCACAAUGGAGGAAACUCUGAUGCAGCGACGCCGCGUGAGCGAUGAAGCCCUUCGGGGUGUAAAGCUCUUUCGACGGGGACGAUAAUGACGGUACCCGGAGAAGAAGCUGCGGCUAACUACGUGCCAGCAGCCGCGGUAAUACGUAGGCAGCAAGCGUUGUUCGGAAUUACUGGGCGUAAAGAGUGCGUAGGUGGUUGGUUAAGUUUGGUGUGAAAUCUCCCGGCUCAACUGGGAGGGUGCGCCGAAAACUGGCCGGCUAGAGUGUGGGAGAGGGACGUGGAAUUCCUGGUGUAGCGGUGAAAUGCGUAGAUAUCAGGAGGAACACCUGCGGUGUAGACGGCGUCCUGGACCAUUACUGACACUGAGGCACGAAAGCGUGGGGAGCAAACAGGAUUAGAAACCCUAGUAGUCC